CCUACGGGAGGCAGCAGUGAGGAAUAUUGGACAAUGGAUGGAAAUCUGAUCCAGCCAUGCCGCGUGCAGGAAGACGGCCCUAUGGGUUGUAAACUGCUUUUGUAUGGGAGCAAUAAGGUCUAUGCGUAGACUGAUGAGAGUACCAUACGAAUAAGCAUCGGCUAACUCCGUGCCAGCAGCCGCGGUAAUACGGGGGAUGCAAGCGUUAUCCGGAUUUAUUGGGUUUAAAGGGUGCGUAGGCGGUUUGAUAAGUCAGCGGUGAAAUAUUUCAGCUUAACUGAAAGGGUGCCGUUGAUACUGUCAGGCUUGAAUAUGGUUGCUGUGGGUGGAAUGUGUGGUGUAGCGGUGAAAUGCUUAGAUAUCACACAGAAUAUCGAUUGCGAAGGCAGCUCACAAAGCCAUUAUUGACGCUGAUGCACGAAAGUGUGGGGAUCAAACAGGAUUAGAUACCCCGGUAGUC
Molecule: ribosomal RNA, 460 nt
Filed under: Weissella confusa
Lineage: Bacteria; Bacillati; Bacillota; Bacilli; Lactobacillales; Lactobacillaceae
Description: bacterial SSU rRNA
Rfam family: Bacterial small subunit ribosomal RNA
Source: RNAcentral